GCUGUCUUCUGUUCACGAAACGUUUUUCCCAAAAAAAUUCCCUCGCCGCCAGCCUCGUACGCCGUCUUCUCCUCCUUCCCUUCCCCUGCACGCGCCGCCGCCUGGCCCGACUCGGAGACCAGCCGCCUCCGAAGAAUCUCGAAGCCUCCUCAUCGCUCCAUCCAGGCACGCGACCAGGCGUCCCGCUCGAGCCGCAGCCGCUGCCGCCGAGAUCGGGAUCCCCGCGACCACGCUGUAGCCCGCGCGUCGCCGCAGCCCCCCCUCUUUGCCCUUCCUCUCAGCUCCCGCACCUCUAGCGCCGCCGCGACCACGCUGCAGCCCGCGCCUCACGAGCCCCGCGACCAGCCCGCCCUGCCCUCCCGCCUCCUCCUGCAGUCCUGCGCCACCGCCGUUGCCCAGCCCCUCCAGUGGCCUCGGUCCAGCAGUUAGUUCAUUCAGGUUUUCAAUUUCACGAUGGCACCACCGGGAUUGUUGAUUACACAAACUGUGAUGAUAUGAAAUAUGUUAUAAAGAAACUGGAUGACACUGAAUUUAACUUUUCUAAAGGUUAUCUAGGGGUGAAGGAAUAUGAUGCUAAACGUGGGCGCUCCUACUCACGUAGCUGAAGCCCAAGUCGUAGCCGCAGCAAAAGCAGGAGCCCAAGGUUUACCCUGUUAUGCCAUUUCAGCGUAUUGACUUCAGUAAUCAUGGUUAGUUUGUUGAUCGUGUCCACAAACACCUUUGAUAAUGUUGCCAUGUGAUACUAUCUGUGUUUGGGGAUUUCCUUCUCAAUCACUCACUUUAUGUUACAAACGAUAUGAACUGCUUAGCCUCUUGUGUUUUUUGAAGACUCGAUUGUCUCUUCGUUUUAUCUGGGAUUGUGCGGCGAUCUUGGGGAUUGUGCAUUAGGAUAUUGGGGAUGGAAUUUGCUCAAUUUGGUACAAUUCUGUUGGUUGUAUGAGAGCUUGGGCAUAGCGUAUUGUUUGGAAUUCUGGACAAUAAAGAGCAUUAAGGAUUAUGAUGGUACAGUGGCUAGGAAUGUGCUUGGAGUUCAAUGCUUGAGGAAUGGUUUUUCUUCCUACAUUGGGCACUCUUAACCUACGUUGCAUGGAUACGGCCCAUACCAGCCGUAUCUGCGGCCCAGAACGGGGAUACGGCAAAAAACGCCAGGGAUACGUGUGUCCAUGGUUUGUCCCGUUUUUGUGAAUUAAAAAAAGAUUAAAAGAAAAACAAAACUGCUGGGAUCGCACCUGAAGAGCGCCUGGGAUAACACAUGUCCAAGAAAAACAUCACACGGCCCACGGCCCUUCAGGACGCACGACCUCGCAGUUACAGAACAAGUUCUUCGCGCACGCGGCAGCGCCUCGCUACAUCCCGCCUCCAUCGCAAAGCUCUUCAAUCAUUCAAGUCCAUUGAUGCAGCGCCCAUGGACCUCAAUUUUCUCUCUGUAUAACAUUGUAUACUUGUAUUUUUAAUUUUUUAUACAUAUACUCGUCAUAUCCCCGUAACUGUAUUUUUAGAAAAUGCCGUUUUCCCGUAUCCCCGGAUCCGUAUCCCCGUAUUCGUAUCCCCGUACCAUACCAUGUAACAUAGCUCUUAACAUGGCCUUUUGUAGCUUGCAUGCACUGACUGCAUUCAACACCGAUUUUUUGCAUUUCUGCAUGAUUUGAACUUAUAUAACUGAGUGCUUCAGUUUUCCUUGAGCUCUUUUUGCUUCGAUUCGGUUAGUCCAAUGCUGGGCGAAGCAUGAAGGCUUUUGGACUCAAGCUGUUAAUGGUGCAUUUUGGAUAUUGAAUUCGGUUGUUUGUGGAACUUUUGCAGAUCACCAGCAAGAUCCAAAUCCCCAAUUUGUAUUUAUCCCUGUACAGUUCCUUUUAAUUUAUAAAAUGUGCUGGGCCUCCAUUACAGUUUCCGGUAAAAAAAAAGAAAUAAUUAGAAGAGUUCUUUUAUGGCCGUGACUGAG
This is a long non-coding RNA of Brachypodium distachyon (stiff brome), 1942 nucleotides long. RefSeq lists it as uncharacterized. The record is from RefSeq and is a predicted model, not a curated record. The transcript has 5 exons. Lineage: Eukaryota; Viridiplantae; Streptophyta; Magnoliopsida; Poales; Poaceae.